CGAGCGGAGAGAGGUAGCUUGCUACUGAUCUUAGCGGCGGACGGGUGAGUAAUGCUUAGGAAUCUGCCUAUUAGUGGGGGACAACAUUUCGAAAGGAAUGCUAAUACCGCAUACGUCCUACGGGAGAAAGCAGGGGAUCUUCGGACCUUGCGCUAAUAGAUGAGCCUAAGUCGGAUUAGCUAGUUGGUGGGGUAAAGGCCUACCAAGGCGACGAUCUGUAGCGGGUCUGAGAGGAUGAUCCGCCACACUGGGACUGAGACACGGCCCAGACUCCUACGGGAGGCAGCAGUGGGGAAUAUUGGACAAUGGGCGGAAGCCUGAUCCAGCCAUGCCGCGUGUGUGAAGAAGGCCUUAUGGUUGUAAAGCACUUUAAGCGAGGAGGAGGCUACUUUAGUUAAUACCUAGAGAUAGUGGACGUUACUCGCAGAAUAAGCACCGGCUAACUCUGUGCCAGCAGCCGCGGUAAUACAGAGGGUGCAAGCGUUAAUCGGAUUUACUGGGCGUAAAGCGCGCGUAGGCGGCUAAUUAAGUCAAAUGUGAAAUCCCCGAGCUUAACUUGGGAAUUGCAUUCGAUACUGGUUAGCUAGAGUGUGGGAGAGGAUGGUAGAAUUCCAGGUGUAGCGGUGAAAUGCGUAGAGAUCUGGAGGAAUACCGAUGGCGAAGGCAGCCAUCUGGCCUAACACUGACGCUGAGGUGCGAAAGCAUGGGGAGCAAACAGGAUUAGAUACCCUGGUAGUCCAUGCCGUAAACGAUGUCUACUAGCCGUUGGGGCCUUUGAGGCUUUAGUGGCGCAGCUAACGCGAUAAGUAGACCGCCUGGGGAGUACGGUCGCAAGACUAAAACUCAAAUGAAUUGACGGGGGCCCGCACAAGCGGUGGAGCAUGUGGUUUAAUUCGAUGCAACGCGAAGAACCUUACCUGGCCUUGACAUAGUAAGAACUUUCCAGAGAUGGAUUGGUGCCUUCGGGAACUUACAUACAGGUGCUGCAUGGCUGUCGUCAGCUCGUGUCUUGAGAUGUUGGGUUAAGUCCCGCAACGAGCGCAACCCUUUUCCUUAUUUGCCAGCGAGUAAUGUCGGGAACUUUAAGGAUACUGCCAGUGACAAACUGGAGGAAGGCGGGGAGGACGUCAAGUCAUCAUGGCCCUUACGGCCAGGGCUACACACGUGCUACAAUGGUCGGUACAAAGGGUUGCUACCCAGCGAUAGGAUGCUAAUCUCAAAAAGCCGAUCGUAGUCCGGAUUGGAGUCUGCAACUCGACUCCAUGAAGUCGGAAUCGCUAGUAAUCGCGGAUCAGAAUGCCGCGGUGAAUACGUUCCCGGGCCUUGUACACACCGCCCGUCACACCAUGGGAGUUUGUUGCACCAGA
Molecule: ribosomal RNA, 1367 nt
Filed under: Acinetobacter oleivorans
Lineage: Bacteria; Pseudomonadati; Pseudomonadota; Gammaproteobacteria; Moraxellales; Moraxellaceae
Description: bacterial SSU rRNA
Rfam family: Bacterial small subunit ribosomal RNA
Source: RNAcentral